GUGUUCUCUUUGGCAGCAUAUAAACUAAAAUUUGAACGAUACAGAGAAGAUUAGCAUGGCACCUGCACAAG
Molecule: small nuclear RNA, 71 nt
Filed under: Fulmarus glacialis (Northern fulmar)
Lineage: Eukaryota; Metazoa; Chordata; Aves; Procellariiformes; Procellariidae
Source: RNAcentral